Selaginella moellendorffii is the source of this 574-nucleotide long non-coding RNA. RefSeq lists it as uncharacterized. The record is from RefSeq and is a predicted model, not a curated record. Lineage: Eukaryota; Viridiplantae; Streptophyta; Lycopodiopsida; Selaginellales; Selaginellaceae. The transcript has 2 exons.
GAUCCAUCGUCACUUUGGAAAUGAAAACGCUACUCUAUCAACGAGUUACCUGCUUGUCUUCGAGAACUACGUGCUCCGAGAUGGCCGCCUUUGCCUUUGGUACAAGAAAACUUGCUGUAGAAAUGCGAGAGCUUCUCGGCGUCGAAGCCUCUGUCAGUGACGAGAAGCUUGGAAAAUCUCUGCUUGGCGACUCUCCUCGUCCCGGCCUGGAAAGAACGAACAAGCGAUGAGGAAAAACCAGGAAACGAGCAAUCUUGUAGCUACCUGCGACGAUUGUAAGCCCAAGACAACGCUCCAGGCCUCGCCUAGCCGAUGCAAGAAACUUUGGCUGUGAUCUCCUCCACCAGCGCAGCGAAUUUGACUGCUUCUUCGUCGUGAUCUCGGCACCAAAGCUCGCUGGCUGUGAUGGAAGCGCGGAUCACAAAAACCUCUGGCGCUGUCCAUUCGAUUCGAUUCGAGAAAAAUAAGGGAAAGGGGAGAGAACUCCACUGUACACAGGCUAGCUAGGAAAGAGUUUUUUACAACCACGUAAGAACGUAAGAACUAACGGCUAGUUUCUUCUGUGGAACCUUUU